This 671-nucleotide long non-coding RNA is filed under the name Marmota monax (woodchuck). Lineage: Eukaryota; Metazoa; Chordata; Mammalia; Rodentia; Sciuridae. The record is from RNAcentral.
GGGAAACCACACCAGAGCUAGUGGGCUUGCAGCACCUGGGCGUCUGGCUCUGAGACAUCUUGUAAACCAGAAGAUUCCCUUCCCUCCCCCGCCUGGGCCAGCGGGGCCCUAUCUAGAGAGAUAAAGCCACUGCCAGGCUCCCAGAGCAGAGACGUUCUUAUCGCGGCUGUCUGGGGUACUUGGGAAUGUUAACUCUCCUGCUGAGCCUCCCUUGAUGUGAGGAGGGACCAGUCUUGGGAAGACACAAAGCAGACACCAGGGGAUGGACCUUCCCCACCCCCUCAGUGCCCUGCAGCCCUGAGCCAGCACUGAGAGGGGAGGACGGGCUCCGCUCCACUUGGGGUCCUCUUCCUCAACACCCAGGAUGUGUGCUUUUCCCCUUCAACACAUCCCUUCAAGUCACAAGAUUUGGAAGGGCUUCAAGGACCCUUUCUGUCAAUGUCCUAUGGCCUGAGAUGCCCUGUCAGAGCGCAGCACCGAGCCCACCGUGCCAGCUGAUAUACCUGUGUGACCUAAAAGCAAAGUCCCUUCACACCAGCAAGCACUUCCCACAUGCCAGGCACUCUUCUUCACAAUUUAAUUCUCCCAGCAACCCUGCAAUCUAACAUGGACGUUACUUCCGUUUCGCAGAGAAGGAAACUGAGGUACCAGGAUGUUAGAGCACUUGCACG